AACAUCGCCUCCUGUUAAAACAUAGUAGGUAAAGCCUGCCCGGUGACCCAUUUUAACGGCCGCGGUACCCUGACCGUGCGAAGGUAGCGUAAUCACCUGUUUUUUAAUUAAAGACCUGUAUCAACGGCAUCACGAGAAUCCCACUGUCUCCUUUUUCCAAUCAGUGAAACUAAUCUGCCUGUGAAAAAGCAGGAAUAAAUCUACAAGACGAGAAGACCCUUUGGAGCUUUAGACAAUGUGAUGACCCAAUAUACCUCAUCCCUAGUCUUAGGUUGGGGCAACCACGGAGAAGAAAAAAACCUCCGAGACGCACACCUACAAAAGCCACACCUUUAAAUAUCAUAACUGACACUAAUUGACCCAAUACUUUGACCAACGAACUAAGUUACCCAAGGGAUAACAGCGCAAUCCACUUAGAGAGCCCCUAUCGACNAAGUGGGCUUACGACCUCGAUGUUGGAUCAAGAUAUCCUAGUGGUGCAGCCGCUACUAAUGGUUCGUUUGUUCAACGAUUAAAAUCUCACGUGAU
RNAcentral lists this ribosomal RNA (528 nucleotides) under Diasporus sp. 3 AB-2016. RNAcentral's name for it is "partial 16S ribosomal RNA". It matches the Rfam family "Bacterial large subunit ribosomal RNA", at positions 1812 to 2604 of the family's 2925-position model. Lineage: Eukaryota; Metazoa; Chordata; Amphibia; Anura; Eleutherodactylidae. The record is from RNAcentral.